CCAUUGGCAUGCCUAGUACGGCGAGUGAGCGGCAACAGCUCAAAUUUGAAAGCUGGCUCCGGCCCGCGUUGUAAUUUGCAGAGGAUGCUUCUGGCGAGGUGCCUUCCGAGUUCCCUGGAACGGGACGCCAUAGAGGGUGAGAGCCCCGUAUGGAUGGACACCAAACCUGUGUGAAGCUCCUUCAACGAGUCGAGUAGUUUGGGAAUGCUGCUCUAAAUGGGAGGUAAAUCUCUUCUAAAGCUAAAUACCGGCCAGAGACCGAUAGCGCACAAGUAGAGUGAUCGAAAGAUGAAAAGCACCUUGAAAAGGGGGUUAAACAGUACGUGAAAUUGUUGAAAGGGAAGCGCUUGUGACCAGACUUGCGCCGGGCAGCUCAUCAGGGGUUCUCCCCUGUGCACUCUGCCCGGCUCAGGCCAGCAUCGGUUCUCGUGGGAGGAUAAGAACGGUAGGAACGUGGCCCCCCUCCGGGGGGGUGUUAUAGCCUGCCGUACGAUACUCCCGUGGGGACCGAGGUUCGCGCUCCGCAAGGAUGCUGGCGUAAUGGUCAUCAGCGACCCGUCUUGAAA
Molecule: ribosomal RNA, 566 nt
Filed under: Cytospora salicina
Lineage: Eukaryota; Fungi; Ascomycota; Sordariomycetes; Diaporthales; Cytosporaceae
Description: eukaryotic LSU rRNA
Rfam family: Eukaryotic large subunit ribosomal RNA
Source: RNAcentral